GCAAGUCGAACGAAGUAGCAAUACUUAGUGGCAGACGGGUGAGUAACAUGUGGGUAUCUGCCCUUUGGCCUGGAAUAACACGAGGAAACUUGUGCUAAUACCGGAUAAGUCUUUACGGAGAAAGCUUUAUGCACCAUUGGAUGAGCCCGCACUUGAUUAGUUUGUUGGUAGGGUAAUGGCCUACCAAGACUGUGAUCAAUAGCUGAUUUGAGAGGAUGAUCAGCCACAUUGGGACUGAGACACGGCCCAAACUCCUACGGGAGGCAGCAGUGGGGAAUCUUGCACAAUGGAGGAAACUCUGAUGCAGCGAUGCCGCGUGAGUGAAGAAGGCCUUUGGGUUGUAAAGCUCUUUCGUCGGGGAAGAAAAUGACUGUACCCGAAUAAGAAGGUCCGGCUAACUUCGUGCCAGCAGCCGCGGUAAUACGAAGGGACCUAGCGUAGUUCGGAAUUACUGGGCUUAAAGAGUUCGUAGGUGGUUGAAAAAGUUGGUGGUGAAAUCCCAGAGCUUAACUCUGGAACUGCCAUCAAAACUUUUCAGCUAGAGUUUGAUAGAGGAAAGCAGAAUUUCUAGUGUAGAGGUGAAAUUCGUAGAUAUUAGAAAGAAUACCAAUUGCGAAGGCAGCUUUCUGGAUCAUUACUGACACUGAGGAACGAAAGCAUGGGUAGCGAAGAGGAUUAGAUACCCUCGUAGUCCAUGCCGUAAACGAUGUGUGUUAGACGUUGGAAAUUUAUUUUCAGUGUCGCAGCGAAAGCGAUAAAACACACCGCCUGGGGAGUACGACCGCAAGGUUAAAACUCAA
This 800-nucleotide ribosomal RNA is filed under the name uncultured marine bacterium. RNAcentral's name for it is "bacterial SSU rRNA". It matches the Rfam family "Bacterial small subunit ribosomal RNA", at positions 57 to 904 of the family's 1533-position model. The record is from RNAcentral.